This 474-nucleotide small RNA is filed under the name Pan troglodytes (chimpanzee). RNAcentral describes it as "processed transcript". Lineage: Eukaryota; Metazoa; Chordata; Mammalia; Primates; Hominidae. The record is from RNAcentral.
AAUUCAUGAAAGCUGAGCAAAUUAAAGAUGAGUCUUUAAAGAUAACACAAAAAGUUCCCAGCCAAGAUGGACGAAUAGGAACAACUCUGGUCUGCAGUUCCCAGUGAGACCAAUGCAGAAGGAGGAGGAUGAAGCUCAGAAAGUUCAGUUGACCUGAGAAAAGUCACACAGACAGUGACUAGCAAAACUGCAAGCGGACUAAUACUUACCUGAUUCGAAGUCUCCUGAUGGUUUUGCUAUGCCUCCACGUAGAAUGCCUAUCCAUUGCAAUUCCCUGCCUCGGGACCAGUGGAAGAAGGGUGAGAGCAAAGAAUUGGAAAGAGAAGAUGUUGGCUUUCCUCUUUUCUAUCUGCAAGACCCCUGCCUAGACAUAUCUGUGUGCAACCAGAAAACAUGCAUUGAAAAUAACAAUUGAAUGAAAUCCCUUUAUAAAAUGUUUAAUUGGCCAACCAGGUGACCAAAUGUACCUGAAGC